Podarcis lilfordi (Lilford's wall lizard) is the source of this 74-nucleotide non-coding RNA. The record is from the annotation of a GenBank genome assembly. Lineage: Eukaryota; Metazoa; Chordata; Lepidosauria; Squamata; Lacertidae.
GUCUUGGUGGCACAAUGGGUCAGUGAAUCUGGCUGUUAACCAGAAGGUUGGUGGUUCAAGCCCACCCAGGGAUG